GAAUCUUGGACAAUGGGCGCAAGCCUGAUCCAGCGGCGCCGCGUGGGUGAUGAAGGCCUUCGGGCUGUAAAGCCCUUUCACCGGGGACGAUGAUGACGGUACCCGGCGAAGAAGCACCGGCUAACUCCGUGCCAGCAGCCGCGGUAAGACGGAGGGUGCUAGCGUUGUUCGGAAUCACUGGGCGUAAAGGGCGCGUAGGCGGCUGUGGCAGUCGGGUGUGAAAGCCCGGAGCUCAACUCCGGAACGGCACUCGAGACGCCACGGCUGGAGGCCGGAAGAGGAGGGUGGAAUACCCAGUGUAGAGGUGAAAUUCGUAGAUAUUGGGUGGAACACCGGUGGCGAAAGCGGCUCUCUGGUCCGGACCUGACGCUGAGGCGCGAAAGCGUGGGGAGCAAACAGG
This 400-nucleotide ribosomal RNA is filed under the name uncultured bacterium. Its description in RNAcentral is "bacterial SSU rRNA". It matches the Rfam family "Bacterial small subunit ribosomal RNA", at positions 359 to 776 of the family's 1533-position model. The record is from RNAcentral.